Molecule: non-coding RNA, 114 nt
Organism: Takifugu rubripes (torafugu)
Lineage: Eukaryota; Metazoa; Chordata; Actinopteri; Tetraodontiformes; Tetraodontidae
Source: Rfam
GUUGGCUAUGGCGAUAUGGUCCCGACUACAAUCGGUGGCAAAAUUGUUGGUUCUCUCUGUGCUAUUGCGGGUGUGUUGACCAUCGCCUUGCCCGUACCUGUAAUUGUGUCUAAC